RNAcentral lists this transfer RNA (71 nucleotides) under Minisyncoccota bacterium. RNAcentral's name for it is "tRNA-Trp". It matches the Rfam family "tRNA". From Rfam's summary of the family: Transfer RNA (tRNA) molecules are approximately 80 nucleotides in length. Their secondary structure includes four short double-helical elements and three loops (D, anti-codon, and T loops). RNAcentral also lists the same sequence under 1 other name. The record is from RNAcentral. Lineage: Bacteria; Bacillati; Minisyncoccota.
GCGGGAUUAGUAUAGUGGCAGUACUACGGUCUCCAAAACCGUUGGCGGAGGUCCGAUUCCUCCAUCCCGCG